AGUAGUUCAGCAGGCGGAAGCAGAACAAGGCCCUCUGAUGCAGGAUGAACCUGUUUCAGCCUGAUUCAGUGCCGGUAGUGGAAAUGGAACCUGGGAGGGAACGGCGAAUGACAGUACACAAUGGGAGGCGGCCUUGUAACGGAGUUGUCUUAAAGGGCAAACGUCUUCAGAGGACCCGAGAGUGCCAGUGGUGCUGAGGUCGACGAAUUAAUGUCAUUUUCACAUGUUAUUUCUAUUGCAAAGCUUCCUGCCGAAAUGGACACCUAGCCUCCGUGACAAGCAGCAACAACCAUUGGCAAAUGAUGAGGUUAAUGGACCGGAAUGGUGGCACACUCGCACAUGGAUUGAAGGACGGAGAUACCUUAAUACGAGGCGUUUCAUAUGGUUAGAUGGAGCGCUAUGGAGGAAUGCUGACUGGUUGCCUGGAGAGCCCAAUAUAAUACUGCUGGGAUAAAGAAUAGUGUAGUCUUGCUCACUCAUCACACUAAUUAUCCUAAAGCAUGAUAUAUAUAUAACUCAUAGCCCCUUCACAUAAACCUUUCUCAGUAUUAUUACACCAAUAUCACUGCACAUCACUCAAUCUCUGAUCUCAUCCGAUUUGAGAUGUUUGACUCCGUUUGUUAAAUGUCUGUCCAACUUUCACUUUAGCACUGCUUUGUGUAUUUACAGGUAAUGGGAAGUUCAAUAAUGUGCCAUGCCACAACCUCCGAGCAUUCAUCUGUUCCUGUCCAAUUUAUAGAUGGGUGGAAUGGUAACCUACACUUUAAAAAGUGGUAACCUGGUUACCAUACUGAGCUAUUUCUACUUGAUAACGCUUGAUUUAGUGAUCUUAAAGCAUAUUUUUGACUUGAGUAAAACAAGUUAAUUUAGAAGUUAUCACAUGAAGCAUAUUUUUUAGCUAAACAGUUUUGUUUAUGAAGAAGGUGGAUUUGUUACUAUUAUUUUGAAUACAUUUAUAAGUGUAAUUCAGUAGUCAAACUGUUUUAUUAAAUUUGCCUUGUGUUGGGGGGCCUGGGUAAUACUCAGCGAGUAUUGACGCCGACUACCACCCCUGGAGUUGCAAGUUCGAAUCCAGGGCAUGCUGAGUGACUCCAGCCAGGUCUCCUAAGCAACCAAAUUGGCCCGGUUGCUAGAGAGGGUAGAGUCACAUGGGGUAACCUCCUCGUUGUCGCUAUAAUGUGUGGUUCUUGCUCUCAAUGAGGCAUGGAUGCCACGGAGAAUAGCGUGGGCCUCCACACACGCUACUUCUCCGUGGUAACGCGCUCAACAAGCCACAUAAUAAGAUGCGCGGAUUGACUGUCUCAGAUGUGGAGGCAACUAAGAUUCGUCCUCUGCCACCCGGAUUGAGGCGAGUCACUACGCCACCACGAGGAUUUAGAGCUUACUGGGAAUUGGGCAUUCCAAACUGGGGAGAAAAGGGGAGAGCAAAAUAAAAAAUAAAAAAAUGUUGACUUGUGUUUUCAAACAAAUUAAAUGCCAUAGAUUCAGCUGAUUACUGA
Molecule: long non-coding RNA, 1499 nt
Organism: Myxocyprinus asiaticus (Chinese sucker)
Lineage: Eukaryota; Metazoa; Chordata; Actinopteri; Cypriniformes; Catostomidae
Exons: 4
Source: RefSeq, a predicted model, not a curated record